GCCUCGGUGGUCUAAUUAAUGGCUUAGGGCGCUCGUACGAAAUACAAGAGACCUGGGUUCAAGUCCCGGCCGAGGUA
RNAcentral lists this transfer RNA (77 nucleotides) under Trachymyrmex cornetzi. It matches the Rfam family "tRNA". From Rfam's summary of the family: Transfer RNA (tRNA) molecules are approximately 80 nucleotides in length. Their secondary structure includes four short double-helical elements and three loops (D, anti-codon, and T loops). Further hydrogen bonds mediate the characteristic L-shaped molecular structure. tRNAs have two regions of fundamental functional importance: the anti-codon, which is responsible for specific mRNA codon recognition, and the 3' end, to which the tRNAs corresponding amino acid is attached (by aminoacyl-tRNA synthetases). tRNAs cope with the degeneracy of the genetic code in two manners: having more than one tRNA (with a specific anti-codon) for a particular amino acid; and 'wobble' base-pairing, i.e. permitting non-standard base-pairing at the 3rd anti-codon position. The record is from Rfam by way of RNAcentral. Lineage: Eukaryota; Metazoa; Arthropoda; Insecta; Hymenoptera; Formicidae.